AAUCAACGCUGGCGGCGUGCCUCAGACAUGCAAGUCGAACGAUUAAACUUUCCUUCGGGAAAGAUAUAAAGUGGCGCACGGGUGAGUAACACGUAGGUAAUGUACCUUUGGGUGGGAAGUAACCAUCGGAACGAUGGCUAAUACCGCAUAAUGCAGCGGCAUCGCAAGAUGACAGUUGUUAAAGAUUUAUCGCCUAAAGAGCAGCCUGCGGCAGAUUAGGAGUUGGUAAGGUAAUGGCUUACCAAGCCUGCGAUCUGUAACCGACCUGAGAGGGUGGUCGGUCACACUGACACUGAAUAACGGGUCAGACUCCUACGGGAGGCAGCAGUCGGGAAUUUUGGGCAAUGGGCGAAAGCCUGACCCAGCAACGCCGCGUGAAGGACGAAGUCUUUCGGG
RNAcentral lists this ribosomal RNA (396 nucleotides) under uncultured bacterium. RNAcentral's name for it is "bacterial SSU rRNA". It matches the Rfam family "Bacterial small subunit ribosomal RNA", at positions 32 to 422 of the family's 1533-position model. The record is from RNAcentral.